Coturnix japonica (Japanese quail) is the source of this 1685-nucleotide long non-coding RNA. RefSeq lists it as uncharacterized. The record is from RefSeq and is a predicted model, not a curated record. NCBI's taxonomy places the organism in Eukaryota, Metazoa, Chordata, Aves, Galliformes, Phasianidae.
AUGAGCUGGAAGCCCCGCUAAGCCCUGGAAAUAACUUACUUUCGUCACCUAUUGACUGUUUGGCUUAGUUUGGAACCGGUGUGGAUUUUUCGGGUCUUUUUUCAAGAGAGCCGGUCAAUGAAAAGCUAAGCCAAUAUUUACCAAGUAUAAGAGCAAUUCUCGGCGGUGUUUAUUAAGGGGCCGGUAGGGAAAGGCUGCGGGGGACGCUCGGGGCCGCUCCCCCCCCUCCGCUCCCGGUGCUCUGCGGUGACGGCAGCCGCGAUAGCGCCGUAGGCGGAAUACCAGGAAAUGGGCACUUGUGGCUUCGGGAGAGCGGCACUCCGCCAGCCUCAGUGCUUCACGGCUCUUCAUCCUCGCAUCUCAUCUACUCUCCGAGCCCUCUCCCCCGAAUCUCCGCUUUCUUUCCGAGAAGGAAACGAUUUCGGGGUCUAUUUUUUCUGCUGUGAUUUAUGAUUCUGAUGGUUUUUCUUUUGCUCCGUGCGCUGCUGGACCGCUGGGAGGCAGCAGAGCCCCGCGCAGGGCGCAGAGCAGCCCCGCAGAGCUGCCCGGGGAUGCGGCGCGGAGCCCCGCGGGGAGCCGGGGAGGUGGGCGCCGACCCCGAGCCCCGACGGGGCGGCCGCACGGCGGCGCUGCGGGACAAGGGACGGCCGGGGGUGGGGAGGCCGGGCUGCCAUCAUCACACCCAGGGCCCCAACCAAGCUGGCCUUGAGAGUAUCCAGGGACUGAGCAUCCGGCGCUUCACCUGCCCGCUGAAGUGCCAGGGCAAUGCCAGGGCAUCACCGUCCUUAAUAUUGAAAGGAUAAACAACGCGUUUUCAAGUCCUAAGUGGGGUUGUGUGCGCGGCAUUCACCUCUGGUUUGUGUAAUUAUGAGCACCAGUCGAGCCAGAAGAACGAAGGAACCGACGGUAGUGAGGAGCACCGCGCAGUGCCAGCAUCCCGGAGCGGCCGUGUUUUCCUCUCAGCCCUCCCCCUCUUCUCACCCCUGUGCGAACCACAGGUCAGAGCAGUGCUGGGGACGCAGACGGCUACAAGUUCACACACACAACAAGGUGUUUCUGCAGCUCAGCGUAGCAGGUUUGAACAGUUAGAGGUAACCAGGAUGUAUGUAAUGACUCUUCAUUCCACAUACACGUUGGGGAUUUAACUGCUCGAAACCCUCUCCGUGCUGCUGACAAAAAAACAUUCCAGAUGAGAUGUGCAAGUUGGAGAGCUCACAGGAACCUGCUUGGAACUGCUGCAGGUUGACUUAGCAAACAUCAGCAUCCCUCAAUUCUGCAUAGAGACCUGCUGUAUUUCAGGGGGUUUAGCACCACUUCAGGAAGAAAGUCAUCCACCAGGAAAACUGCAAGCAAAGCUGCUUAGAAUUUAAGGUUGUAUUAUCACCUUCAUGGCUUGGACUGGUCGAUCAGUCUGAACUGUUUCAACUAUUUAAGGAAAACAAAACAAAACAACACACACACACAAAUCAGUUAUAAAUACAAUAUGGAUGUUCAGAAUUAUUUAUUUAUUUUAGUGCCAAGAGCACAAAGCAAUCACAUAGCAGCCUGUAACCCUAACAAAAAAAAACCAACAAAACAAUAAUACAAACAAUUCAGGCAUUCAAAGAUGUCAAAUCCUUCUUCGACCACGUGAAGAAAAAAAUUCAUCGUCGUUUGUUAUCUAUGACUGUCAAAUAAAUAUGCAA